AGUGGACGCUGGCGGUAGGCCUAACACAUGCAAGUCGAACGGCAGCACAGUAAGAGCUUGCUCUUACGGGUGGCGAGUGGCGGACGGGUGAGGAAUACAUCGGAAUCUACUUUUUCGUGGGGGAUAACGUAGGGAAACUUACGCUAAUACCGCAUACGACCUACGGGUGAAAGCAGGGGAUCUUCGGACCUUGCGCGAUUGAAUGAGCCGAUGUCGGAUUAGCUAGUUGGCGGGGUAAAGGCCCACCAAGGCGACGAUCCGUAGCUGGUCUGAGAGGAUGAGAAGCAACAAUGGAAGUGAGACAAGGGACAGACGCAGACGGGAGGCAGCAGUGGGGAAUAUGGGACAAGGGGCGCAGGAAGGAAAAAGCCAUACCGAGGGAGUGAAGAAGGCCUUCGGAUUGGAAAGCUCUUUUGUUGGGAAAGAAAAGAAGAAGGUUAAUAACCCGCUGUUCUGAAGGUACCGAAAGAAUAAGCACAGGAUAACUUCGUG
This 492-nucleotide ribosomal RNA is filed under the name uncultured bacterium. Its description in RNAcentral is "partial 16S ribosomal RNA". It matches the Rfam family "Bacterial small subunit ribosomal RNA", at positions 29 to 507 of the family's 1533-position model. The record is from RNAcentral.